Molecule: ribosomal RNA, 1867 nt
Filed under: human gut metagenome
Description: bacterial LSU rRNA
Rfam family: Bacterial large subunit ribosomal RNA
Source: RNAcentral
CGCGUAAUGCGGUGACGGCGUGCCUUUUGCAUAAUGAGCCUGCGAGUUGUGGUCAUUGGCGAGGCUAAGAGCCGAAGGUUCGGAGCCGGAGCGAAAGCGAGUCCGAAGAGGGCGUAUAGUCGAUGGCUGCAGACGCGAAACCGGGUGAUCUACGCAUGGGCAGGCUGAAGGCUGGGUAACACCAGCUGGAGGGCCGAACCGGUAAGCGUUGAAAAGCUUUCGGAUGACCUGUGCGUAGGAGUGAAAGGCCAAUCAAACCCGGAGAUAGCUCGUACUCCCCGAAAUGCAUUUAGGUGCAGCCUCGGUAAAGACCGACGGAGGUAGAGCGACCGAUAGGGUGCGAGGGCUUCGCCGCCUAUCAAGCCCUGACGAACUCCGAAUGCCGUCGGUUGCUUACCGGGAGUGAGGGCGCGGGUGCUAAGGUCCGCGUCCGAAAGAGGAACAACUCAGACCACCGUCUAAGGCCCCGAAAUCCGGGCCGAGUUGAAGCCAAUAACGAGGUGGGACCGCAUAGACAGUUAGGAUGUUGGCUUGGAAGCAGCCAUUCAUUCAAAGAGUGCGUAACAGCUCACUAAUCGAGCGGUCCCGCGUGGAUAAUAAUCGGGCAUAAGUCCGGUGCCGAAGACGUGGAAUCAACCUUGAAGGUUGAUUGGUAGGGGAGCAUUCUGCCGCCGGUGAAGGAGGGCCGCGAGACCCUCUGGAGGUUGCAGAAAAGCAAAUGCAGGCAUAAGUAACGACAAAGGGGGCGGGAAACCCCCUCGCCGGAAGGCCAAGGGUUCCUGAUCAACGCUAAUCGGAUCAGGGUAAGCCGGGACCUAAGCAAAAGCCGCGAGGCGUAUGCGAUGGACAAACGGUAAAAAUUCCGUUGCCUCCGGUUUGAGAGCCCCGUUGAUGACGGAGGAGCGAAAGACGCGCGUGCUGACGGAACAGCACGUUAAAGGGAAGUAGCCUUAUGGUGAAGCCCGACAGUACACAGAGGCUUCGGCCGAAGUGAUAGCCGUACCGUAGCAGACUCCCGAGAAAAGUCAACGAGAGGCGCUUGAUCAAACCGGGGCCCGUACCGAAAACCGACACAGGUGGCCGGGUAGAAAAUACUGAGGCGCUCGAGAGAUUCACGGUCAAGGAACUAGGCAAAUUGGCCCCGUAACUUCGGGAGAAGGGGCCCUCGUUUAAAAAGCGAGGCGCAGAGAAUAAGUCCAGGCAACUGUUUAGCAAAAACACAGGGCUGUGCCAAGCCGCAAGGCGCUGCAUACAGCCUGACACCUGCCCGGUGCCGGAAGGUUAAGCGGAGCUGUCAUCGCAAGAGAAGCAGUGAAGUGAAGCCCCGGUAAACGGCGGCCGUAACUAUAACGGUCCUAAGGUAGCGAAAUUCCUUGUCGGGUAAGUUCCGACCUGCACGAAUGGUGUAAUGAUCCGGACACUGUCUCGACCGUGAGCUCGGUGAAAUUGUAGUAUCGGUGAAGAUGCCGAUUACCCGCAACGGGACGAAAAGACCCCGUGAACCUUUACUGCAGCUUAGCAUUGGGGCCGGGUGUGCGAUGUGUAGGAUAGUCCGGAGACAGCGAAGCCGGGACGCCAGUCUCGGUGGAGUCGACGUUGAAAUACGGGCCUUCGCACAUUUGGCUUCUAACUUGCGGAUGCAAGGACAUUGCUUGGCGGGUAGUUUGACUGGGGUGGUCGCCUCCAAAAGCGUAACGGAGGCUCCUAAAGGUUCCCUCAGGCCGAUUGGCAACCGGCCGCAGAGCGCAAUGGCAUAAGGGAGCUUGACUGUGAGACCAACAAGUCGGACAGGAAGGAAACUUGAGCAUAGUGAUCCGGCGGUUCCGUAUGGAAGGGCCGUCGCUCAAAGGAUAAAAGGUACUCCGGG